Molecule: long non-coding RNA, 1795 nt
Organism: Triplophysa rosa
Lineage: Eukaryota; Metazoa; Chordata; Actinopteri; Cypriniformes; Nemacheilidae
Exons: 3
Source: RefSeq, a predicted model, not a curated record
AAUGCAAACACUGAACUUUCAAACAUAAAAUGAAUGUGAAUGUCCCUGAAUGUGUAAGCGUGCAUAAGUUGACCCUAGCGUCAAACACCCAAAUACAUGUAGGCCUAGGCUAAUUUGUGGUUCAGCGAAGCAUUUUUAAUUUUUGUUUCCGCUACUGUUAACAGUAUAUAUUAUAACCGAUUCAUUUCAUAUUAUUUGCAUUAACACGUGGACACCACUUAUUUUAGCAAUGCUUGUUUUAACGUAAGGGGUAAUUCAGGUCUAAGUGUGCAUACAAUUAUUUUAAUGCAUGACAUGGACAUGAAGAACCACCCGAAGCACAGAUGUGCACGUAUUACCCAGCUUAUAUCAUGGUCUUGCCACAAUUAAUAAGGUUAAAACUGUCAUUGAUUUUGGAAAGACACUGUGAGUAUCUAUGCAAACUUACUGGAACUACAUGUGCAGUAAAAGGUUUUAAUGCACACCACCUUCCAGCCAAUAAGAAUCCAGUAUUGAGACUGACCAUGGUAUAAUACAGUAUGAUCAAUUUUUUGUUGUGACCGCCCCAGAUUUAUUGUCGUAUAAUAAUUGAAUUUAUGUAUUUUUAUAGAAACAGCAGAGAAAUGUCAUAUACAUUCAUAGUACACUAUAUAGCCCACUGUAUGUACAAUAUGAUCUUAUUCCACUCUUAAAUAACAGGGUGCACCACUUCAGCUUCAAGGGAAUGACUGUGGAAUAUUCAUGUUAAUGGUAAGUGUUCAUAAUUGCUAUACCAUUGUUUCUGAUCUUAUAUUAACAAAUGCAGUGUUUAGCACACACACAGUUUUGAUUUUGUAUUUUAGUACGCCAUGUAUGUGACUCUUGGAAAGCCCUUCGAUUUUUCGGCAUUUGACAUGCCUGGAAGAGGAGGUGGUGAUGCCAUCAGUUACUACAGGCAUUUCCUCUGGCAAGGUAUGAUAUUGCUAACUAUACUUUGAAUGAAGAUAUUCAUUGUGUGCAUUUCUCAGUAUACAGGUCAUUUGUUAUAAAUAAUGCACAGUGGAAUAGAGUGUACUGUUUUGUCACUUUUUCUAUAAAGCCAACAGUCAGUCACCAAACCAAUGAUCCAACUGGAUCUAAACGUUAUGGAGGUCACCCCGUCUGUGCCAGACGUCAUGGAGAUCACCCCAGCUACGAGAAUCCAUAAAGGACUCGGCUGUGAUGAAACAGAUUCUGCUCACUGUGACUGGGUGGAGGAGUUCCGAACCCACUUUGCUGGGAAAGUUCACCUACCACAGGUCACAAAAAUGAAAGAGGAUGAUCAUUGACCAAUAACUGUCUGUCUGUCUGAAAAAAAAAAAUCUUGUUGUUCAUUCUCUCCUUUGCUUACUCCAGCUUUAAUCCUAGUAGCAUGGCCUUGUAAACUAACGGUACUGUUUAGCGUGUUGACAAAAUGUUUAUACUGUAUGCUCUCCUACUUGUAAGUCGCUUUGGAUAAAAGCGUCUGCCAAAUGAAUAAAUGCAAAUGUAAAUUAUUCCUUGUUGGCUAUAACAAUGCAGGACCUAUUUAUUGACACCAUUUUCUAUGAUGGUGGCAUGGGUCAGGAUAAAAUCCAGGCUCCCUUCCUUUUCACCUUUGAGAGAAUGCAGGACAUGGAGUUUUUCAUGCAGGAAGUAUAUGAUAAAAUAAAUAUUUGUGUGUCUUGCCUGCACAAUGCUGACCUUUAAAAAGCUAACUGGUGGUGUAGAUCUGGGUUAAUUCUGUAAAUGGUUUUGUAUUGUCAUGGAGUUUUAGGUGUUGUAAAAUGUCUUGUUUUUGACCAAUUAAAGUUUCGUG